UCGAGUCUACCACUCUCGCUCUCGCUCUCGCUGUCUCGCACCUCCGUUCCCCAUUCACUCGCCACCGGCGGGGGGCGGCGCCGCCAUGCUUCGGCUGCGGCGCAGCAUCUUCACCCGCCUCCUCUCGUCUCCCUCCGCCUCUCCCAUCUCCCAUCUCCACCGCCUCCUCUCCGCCGUUUCCCCAAGCCCUGGACUCAACGUGGAGGAGUACCUCGUCGAUCGAUGCGGCCUCACCCGGGCGCAGGCAAUCAAGGCCUCCGCCAAGAUCUCCCACCUCAAGUCCCCCACCAAUCCCGACGCCGUCCUCUCCUUCCUCGCCGGCCUCGGCCUCUCCACCGGCGACGUCUCUGCCGUCGUCGCCAAGGACCCCAAGCUACUCUGCUCCGCCGUGGACAAAACCCUGGCGCCCGUCGUCACCGGGCUCGCCGGUCUCGGCCUAUCGCGCGAUGAGAUCGCGCGCCUCGUCCUGGUCGCCCGCGACAGAAUCCGCUGCAGAUCCAUCGUCUCCUACCUCAACUACUACCUGCCCAUCUUCGGCUCCUUCCACAACCUCCUUCGAGCCUUGAAGUUCAACAAUAGUCUCCUCGGAUAUAACCUCGAGAGGACAGUUAAACCCAACGUCACGUUCCUGCGGGAGUGCGGUCUACAUGAUUGCGAUAUUGCCAAGCUGAGCAUAGCUGCGCCGAGUAUGCUCACCAACAAUCUGGACCGUGUCCGGGCGACUGUGGCUUGCGCCGAGCGUUUAGGUGUGCCUCGUGCCUCUCCCAUGUUCAGGCACGCCCUGCACGCUCUUGCAUUUGACACCGAGGACACUGUCGCCGCCAAACUAGACUACUUGAAGAAGACGUUUAACUGGUCUGAUGCUGAGGUGGCCAUCGCCGUGUCUAGGGCUCCGCUUGUGCUGACAAGGUCCAAAGCAACGCUGCAAGGAAGGUCUGACUUCCUCAUGUCUGAGGUGGGGUUGGAACCCGCCUACAUUGCUCAUCGCCCAGCAAUACUCUCUUAUAGCUUGGAGGGCAGGCUCAGACCCCGAUAUUAUGUUCUAAAGUUUCUUAAGGAGAAUGGAUUGCUACAGCGGGAGCGGAGCUACUUCUCAGCAGUCAUUGUGACCGAGAAGGUGUUUGUGGACAGGUACAUAUGCCCACACAAGGAAGCUGCACCGCACCUUGCUCAAGACUAUGCAACAGCUUGCGGAGGCCAAGUGCCGACUAGAUUCAGAUUUGCAUGAACCAACAACAGCCAUGAAAUUCUGAAACCAUGCAUGUAUGGCGUGACAUAAAUUUUCACUUGUGUGGCGAGAAGAAACAUGGCAGAUAUGGCUUUGCAAUACUAUAUGUAGGUGAUUCCGAAGGAGGAUCAGCCUCGGUUCAGGUCAUAUGGCAGCGCAGAUGGCGGAUUUCAGUCCGUCUGGAAUAAGACUACUCGACCAUGCUAUGCACAUUCAUGAUGCCCUGUGGCUUUCUUCAGUAACUAAUAUUCAUGGCCUGAUGCCGGUGGGAGUCCUAUUCAGAGAAGAAGCUCUUAAUUAACUAGCUUGCCCCUUUUGAAUUUUGCAAGUUAAGCAAUCCUUCUUGUAUUGUCCUAUGGAUUGUACUCCUGUACACUAAUCAGGUGACACACAUGUUGCUGUCGCCUGCUGUAUUCAUCAGCUCAACUGAGCCUGAACAAGAAAUAAGCUGAAUAAAUUGGUACAUUCAGCUCCGUA
Molecule: RNA transcript, 1705 nt
Organism: Lolium perenne
Lineage: Eukaryota; Viridiplantae; Streptophyta; Magnoliopsida; Poales; Poaceae
Gene name: transcription termination factor MTERF8, chloroplastic
Source: RefSeq, a predicted model, not a curated record